GGCAGCUCCAGGAAUGCCAAGGGCAUUCCCCAUAUUGCAAAAAGGGGAAAUCGAGGCCCAGCUAAAGGCUAGGAAGGCAGAGCUCGUGCCUAGAGCUGGAGUCCUGGCUCCUUGUGCUGUGUUUUGAGGCCUAGUCAUCUUUCUGAGGCCAGCAGCCUAGAGAGUCAGCAUAUGGGACAGGAGAGAAAGGGGGGGGGGGGGUUCAAAAUUAUCAAGUGACUGGGACUUCUCCAAGGCCAUCAGGCGAGAAAUGGAGGGACCAGACACAAAAUGUCUGACAUAAACCAAGGAAUUUUUUUAGGAUAUCUCCUCUCUCUGUCUCUCUGUCUCUCUGUCUCUCUCUCUCCCUCCGCCUCCAGUGUUAUUGCUGGGGCUUGGUGCCUGCACUACGAAUCUAUUGCUCCUGGAGUCCUUCCCCCCCUUUUGUUGCCCUGUUGUUCAUUGUUGCUGUUUUUAUUACUGUAGUUAUUACUGUCAUUGUUGUUGAAUAGGACAGAGAGAAAUCAAGAGAUUGGGGUAGAAAGGGAGAGACACAGAGAUAAGGAGAGACAUCACAAUACCACUCCACUACUCAUGAAGCUUCCCUUUUGCAUGGUGCUCCCAUGUGGUGGCUAAGGGUUUGAACUUGGAUCCUUGGACAUGAGAGCAAUUCAGCACAAGAAACAGGAACUUAGUAAAUGCUUCUGAAGUAAUACAUCUCUCCUGUGCCAACAGAGACCACGGGGAAAAAGAGUGAAGAGAAAUGUACUCAAAGAAUUGACAUCAGUCAAGAAUCAAAUGUCUAUUGUGCCUGCCAUCUUGUACAGACAGGACCUCUGCAAUACAGCAUGAACAUGCUACCAGAGAUGAACUGAGGAAGUCACCGAAAGAAUUCAGGAUGAGGAUUUGGAGGACCCUGUGGGAGUAUCCUUUCGCUGCCCGCCCUUAAUCCUCUCCAAAUCGCCUGGGCUCUACAGCUGUUGGUACGCCAGAUAAACUAUUUGUUCAAUUAUUCUUGGCCUCGAUGGGGCGGCUGGCCUCAAAGGCUCCGGUCUUCAUAAUUCCGGCGACUUCAAUCGGCCCCAGGCCCUCCCCGGGCUGCCUACAGGAGCCCGGCCUGUUUGAAGAGCCCUGUGCACUGGGUAAAAGAAACGAAGGAAAAUAGAACUUUCCUGACAACCCAGCAGAAAAAGGGAAGGAGAAAAAGAGUUUUCCAGGAGCAGUGGAAAUCAUGCCAACAUGAAGGC
This is a long non-coding RNA of Erinaceus europaeus (western European hedgehog), 1226 nucleotides long. RefSeq lists it as uncharacterized. The transcript is spliced from 6 exons. Lineage: Eukaryota; Metazoa; Chordata; Mammalia; Eulipotyphla; Erinaceidae. The record is from RefSeq and is a predicted model, not a curated record.